GUCCACGCCGUAAACGAUGGACGCUAGGUGUGGGCGGUGUCGACUCCGUCCGUGCCGAAGCUAACGCAUUAAGCGUCACGCCUGGGGAGUACGGCCGCAAGGCUAAAACUCAAAGGAAUUGACGGGGACCCCGCACAAGCAGCGGAGCAUGUUGUUUAAUUCGAUGCGACGCGAAGAACCUUACCUGGGCUUGACAUGCGCCUGUAAUCUCGGGAAACCGAGCCCCUCUUCGGAGCGGGUGCACAGGUGGUGCAUGGCUGUAGU
Molecule: ribosomal RNA, 264 nt
Filed under: uncultured bacterium
Lineage: Bacteria
Description: partial 16S ribosomal RNA
Rfam family: Bacterial small subunit ribosomal RNA
Source: RNAcentral